GGUAAGUCCUCUCUAUAGGCUGGUUGUC
RNAcentral lists this non-coding RNA (28 nucleotides) under Homo sapiens (human). Lineage: Eukaryota; Metazoa; Chordata; Mammalia; Primates; Hominidae. The record is from RNAcentral.